CCUGUACUAAUAAGGAAGAGGAACGUUGAAACGUGUCACCUGUUCAGUGGCAACCCGUCAUUCAGGGCAGGUUGGGCAGAGCCCCACCUGUUUUUCAUGUUAUUUUUGCAUUAACACGUGUCACAUAUCAGUUUGCAAACAAUGUAAAAACAAUCAUUGAGUUAACAAAGCCGCAUAAAAACGUAUUUAUUUAUUUUUGCUUUCUUUUGUAAGGCAGUUCUAAAAUGCAGGUGUUUCAGCUUUGCUCAGUGUUCUGUCACUCAUGGGGACAACAUGUGAGAGCAAAAUCUAUGGGUAGAGCUAAAAACAUUCAAUCCCCUUGGGUGCUGCCAUAGAUUCAUUGUUUUUCUUGGAAAACCCUUCUCAUCCCUUUACCAAUAACUUGACUGUAGUCAGUGAUAACAGGAUGUUUUUCACUACUGCCCUCCAAACAGCUUUCUUAACAAAAAUACCAGCUAAAUAUAGUCACAUCUAUGUCCUUAGAUGCGGGCUCCGCUAGAUAUGUAGUUACUACACAUCCAACCAAUAGUUCAUUUGUCAGCAUCACGGUGUAAAAACACAAAACAACUCAUGGUGAAACUGAUGUGUAGGCCUCUGAUUACUUUCUAAACAAAUGAAUUAUAGGUCAACAUUCCAAGGCCUAUAAUAACUUAUUAUAAAAUAUGUAAUAAAUGUCAAAUAAAUAGGCCCUACCACACAAUUAUUGUAUUUUUUAGAUGAAUGACUGACAAAUGUGAUUAAUAAAAUAUGUAAACCACUACUUUGAGUUAGAAACAUAACUUUGCUAUGCAGCACCUUAUAAAGGGCUGGAGUGACCACACACUUUUGGCAAACCAAGAACUCCACCAAAUGUAACUGCACUAAACUGCACUCAAAGCUCAUCUACAGGUAACAGACAAAAGGAAAUACUUGAGUAAAUGAGGGAUACAAAGUAUAUUGAAAGCAAGGCUUCCACGCAGGUGUGGUUCCUGAGUUAAUUAAGCAAUUAAUACAUCCCAUCAUGCUUAGGGUCAAGCAGGAUAGCCUAGUGGUUAGAGCAUUGGACUAGUAACCGGAAGGCAGUUAACCCACUGUUCCUAGGCAGUCAUUGAAAAUAAGAAUUUGUUCUUAACUGACUUGCCUAGUUAAAUAAAUUAAAAAUUUUAAAAACACAUGCCCAGUUGACCAUUAUUUUGUCUAGAAAAAGAGAUCUCAGUGACUUUGAAAGAGGAGUCUCAAAAGGAGCUUAGGGGGUUUAAAGGGUUG
Molecule: long non-coding RNA, 1245 nt
Organism: Oncorhynchus tshawytscha (Chinook salmon)
Lineage: Eukaryota; Metazoa; Chordata; Actinopteri; Salmoniformes; Salmonidae
Source: Ensembl